Molecule: ribosomal RNA, 376 nt
Filed under: uncultured bacterium
Lineage: Bacteria
Description: bacterial SSU rRNA
Rfam family: Bacterial small subunit ribosomal RNA
Source: RNAcentral
AGCGAACGCUGGCGGCAGGCUUAACACAUGCAAGUCGAGCGGACGUAGCAAUACGUUAGCGGCAGACGGGUGAGUAACACGUGGGAACGUGCCCUUUAGUUCGGGAUAACCCAGGGAAACCUGGGCUAAUACCGGAUAAGCCCUUACGGGGAAAGAUUUAUCGCCAAAGGAUCGGCCCGCGUCUGAUUAGCUAGUUGGUGGGGUAACGGCCCACCAAGGCUACGAUCAGUAGCUGGUCUGAGAGGAUGAUCAGCCACACUGGGACUGAGACACGGCCCAGACUCCUACGGGAGGCAGCAGUGGGGAAUAUUGGACAAUGGGGGAAACCCUGAUCCAGCCAUGCCGCGUGAGUGAUGAAGGCCUUAGGGUUGUAAAG